GAUGAACGCUGGCGGCGUGCUUAACACAUGCAAGUCGAACGAAGCGCUUAAACGGAUUUCUUCGGAAUGAAGUUUUUGCGACUGAGUGGCGGACGGGUGAGUAACGCGUGGGUAACCUGCCUCAUACAGGGGGAUAACAGUUAGAAAUGACUGCUAAUACCGCAUAAGCCCACGACCCGGCAUCGGGUUGAGGGAAAAGGAGCAAUCCGCUUUGAGAUGGCCUCGCGUCCGAUUAGCUAGUUGGUGAGGUAACGGCCCACCAAGGCAACGAUCGGUAGCCGGACUGAGAGGUUGAACGGCCACAUUGGGACUGAGACACGGCCCAG
RNAcentral lists this ribosomal RNA (326 nucleotides) under uncultured bacterium. Its description in RNAcentral is "bacterial SSU rRNA". It matches the Rfam family "Bacterial small subunit ribosomal RNA", at positions 28 to 334 of the family's 1533-position model. The record is from RNAcentral.